GUGAGGGGGUGACUAGUGGCGGAGUGAGGGAAGGAAGGGGUGACUAGUGACAGAGUGAGGGAGGUGGUGACUGUCACUAGUCACCACCUCCCUCACUCUGUCACUAGUCACCACCUCCCUCUGUCACUACUCCCUCCCUCCUUCUGUCACUAGUCACCCCCUCUGUCCCUUACUCUGUCACUAGUCACCCCCUCCCUCAC
This is a non-coding RNA of Pelobates cultripes (western spadefoot toad), 200 nucleotides long. The record is from the annotation of a GenBank genome assembly. NCBI's taxonomy places the organism in Eukaryota, Metazoa, Chordata, Amphibia, Anura, Pelobatidae.